This 253-nucleotide ribosomal RNA is filed under the name uncultured bacterium. RNAcentral describes it as "partial 16S ribosomal RNA". It matches the Rfam family "Bacterial small subunit ribosomal RNA", at positions 524 to 776 of the family's 1533-position model. The record is from RNAcentral.
UACAGAGGUCUCAAGCGUUGUUCGGAUUCAUUGGGCGUAAAGGGGGCGUAGGCGGCUCGGUAAGUCGGGUGUGAAAUCUCGGAGCUUAACUCCGAAACUGCAUUCGAUACUGCCGUGCUUGAGGACUGGAGAGGAGACUGGAAUUUACGGUGUAGCGGUGAAAUGCGUAGAUAUCGUAAGGAAGACCAGUGGCGAAGGCGGGUCUCUGGACAGUUCCUGACGCUGAGGCACGAAGGACAGGGGAGCAAACGGG